CCCACUGUCUGUGGGGUGCGUCAGGGGGACCCGUUCUCGCCGUUCCUGUUCAACAUGGUGGUCGAUGCUCUGGCCGCCAUCCUAGACAAAGCCAAGGGUGUCGGCCAUAUUCACGGCAUUGUCCCCCACCUAGUCGGAGGGGGAGGGGUCUCCCUCCUUCAAUACGCGGAUGACACCAUAAUAAUGGUUGAAGGUUCUACUCAGGACAUGGCUAACCUGAAGUUCCUCCUUCUGUGCUUCCAGCAGAUGUCGGGCCUAAUGAUCAACUUCGAUAAGAGCGAAGUGAUGGUUCUUGGUUACCCUCCAGUGGAAGCUCAGGCUAUCGCUGGCCGACUUAACUAUCGGCUGGGUUCUUUCCCCACGGCCUACCUAGGGAUCCCCAUUAGUGAUUCGCGCCUCACCGUGGCGGACCUCCGCCCCAUGGUGACCCGUAUGCAACAUCACGUCGAGCCUUGGAAAGGGCGCUGGCUAUCGAAGGCUACGCGUGUGAUUCUCAUCAACUCCUCUCUCGCCAGCCUUCUUUGGUACCUCAUGAGCUUUUAUAGCCUCCAUGAAACGCUGCACACGGAAAUUGCCAAGUACCAAUCCAAGUUCUACUGGGCUGGCGAGGAUGACAGACAGAAGUACCAUAUGGUCAGUUGGCCGGACAUAUGUAAAACUAGGACCAGGGGGGUCUAG
Molecule: ribosomal RNA, 678 nt
Filed under: Triticum aestivum (bread wheat)
Lineage: Eukaryota; Viridiplantae; Streptophyta; Magnoliopsida; Poales; Poaceae
Description: partial small subunit ribosomal RNA
Source: RNAcentral